AAGGCCGAGCAGAAGGUUUACCAGAACAUCUGGGCACUGUUUGACAGUAGGUUUGGAUGCGUCAAGUCGUGGGACGAUGCCUUCAGCAAGGUGUUAACGCUUAACUAUGCGCUUGUCGCUGGUCGAUUGGCAACCACAGUAAGGACCAUCAUCGCUGGACCUCAGAAAUUCCACUUGACCCGUCAUGAAUUCGACCUUCAGGGGUAUGGCAUCGCGUGCCCAAGUGGGUCGCCUUACAAGACUCUUUUCGAGGAACAAAUAAUAUGGCUGCUGUCAACCGGUCUGGUACAGAAGUUCACUAGAAUAGAACUCUUGAAGUUCAAGAGACCACGAGAGCCUAGCGAAGAGGUCAACGAAGCAUUUACCAUCCAGCAUCUGCAGGCUGGAUUCUAUCUUCUCGUUGUGGGUUACUUCAUUGCUGCUGGAACUUUCAUAGGCGAGAUACUCUGCAGACGGUAUCAGGAAAGUCUUCUAAAGAAGACCCAGACCAUAAAAAUGUACUUUUCCUGAGGUACUAAUUUUACCACUGCUGAUGUUUGUUCUUGUUAUUGUACGCAACUUGCACUUUGAGAAGAAUGUUCAAACUUGAUUUAGAUAAUCAGUGUCCUGCGCUGAAUGGGAUGAGACAUUGUGGUAGCCAAAAAAUGACCAAUAGCAAUUUUAUUAAUCUGUUAAUGGCAUUUUUGAGUGUAAUAUUCAAUGUACUAUUUUGGCAAUAUAAAUGUUAAGAUUACAAGGAAACUUCAAGAAAAUCUUACCUACA
Macrobrachium nipponense is the source of this 763-nucleotide long non-coding RNA. RefSeq lists it as uncharacterized. The transcript is spliced from 3 exons. The record is from RefSeq and is a predicted model, not a curated record. Lineage: Eukaryota; Metazoa; Arthropoda; Malacostraca; Decapoda; Palaemonidae.